GACGGAGGCCUUCGGGUCGUAAACCGCUUUCAGCAGGGAAGAGUCAAGACUGUACCUGCAGAAGAAGCCCCGGCUAACUACGUGCCAGCAGCCGCGGUAAUACGUAGGGGGCGAGCGUUUAUCCGGAUUCAUUGGGCGUAAAGCGCGCGUAGGCGGCCCGGCAGGCCGGGGGUCGAAGCGGGGGGCUCAACCCCCCGAAGCCCCCGGAACCUCCGCGGCUUGGGUCCGGUAGGGGAGGGUGGAACACCCGGUGUAGCGGUGGAAUGCGCAGAUAUCGGGUGGAACACCGGUGGCGAAGGCGGCCCUCUGGGCCGAGACCGACGCUGAGGCGCGAAAGCUGGGGGAGCGAACAGGAUUAGAUACCCUGGUAGUCCCAGCCGUAAAGAAUGGGGCGUUAGGUGGGGGGGGACGAUCCCCCCGUGCCGCCACCAACGCAUUAAGCGUCCCGCCUGGGGAGUACGGCCGCAAGGGCUAAAACUUCAAAGGAAAUUGACGGGGGCCCGCACAAGCAGCGGAGCAUGUGGCUUAAUUCGAAGCAACGCGAAGAACCUUACCAGGGCUUGACAUAUGGGUGAAGCGGGGGAGACCCCGUGGCCGAGAGGAGCCCAUACAGGUGGUGCAUGGCUGUCGUCAGCUCGUGUCGUGAGAUGUUGGGUUAAGUCCCGCAACGAGCGCAACCCCCGCCGCGUGUUGCCAUCGGGUGAUGCCGGGAACCCACGCGGGACCGCCGCCGUCAAGGCGGAGGAGGGCGGGGACGACGUCAAGUCAUCAUGCCCCUUAUGCCCUGGGCUGCACACGUGCUACAAUGGCCGGUACAGAGGGAUGCCACCCCGCGAGGGGGAGCGGAUCCCGGAAAGCCGGCCCCAGUUCGGAUUGGGGGCUGCAACCCGCCCCCAUGAAGUCGGAGUUGCUAGUAAUCGCGGAUCAGCAUGCCGCGGUGAAUGCGUUCCCGGGCCUUGCACU
This 963-nucleotide ribosomal RNA is filed under the name uncultured bacterium. Its description in RNAcentral is "partial 16S ribosomal RNA". It matches the Rfam family "Bacterial small subunit ribosomal RNA", at positions 407 to 1387 of the family's 1533-position model. The record is from RNAcentral.